GGAAUUGUUCGCAAUGGGCGCAAGCCUGACGACGCAACGCCGCGUGGAGGAUGAAGAUCUUCGGGUCGUAAACUCCUUUCGAUCGAGACGAAUGGCCCCUGGGUCAAUACCCCGGGGGCGUGACGGUACCGAGAGAAGAAGCCCCGGCUACCUCCGUGCCCGCAGCCGCGGUAAUACGGGGGGGGCAAGCGUUGUUCGGAAUUACUGGGCGUAAAGGGCUCGUAGGCGGCCAACUAAGUCAGACGUGAAAUCCCUCGGCUUAACCGGGGAACUGCGUCUGAUACUGGAUGGCUUGAGAUUGGGAGAGGGAUGCGGAAUUCCAGGUGUAGCGGUGAAAUGCGUAGAUAUCUGGAGGAACACCGGUGGCGAAGGCGGCAUCCUGGACCAACACUGACGCUGAGGAGCGAAAGCCAGGGGAGCAAAC
This 424-nucleotide ribosomal RNA is filed under the name uncultured bacterium. RNAcentral describes it as "bacterial SSU rRNA". It matches the Rfam family "Bacterial small subunit ribosomal RNA", at positions 358 to 773 of the family's 1533-position model. The record is from RNAcentral.